UACGAAGGGGGCUAGCGUUGCUCGGAAUUACUGGGCGUAAAGGGCUCGUAGGCGGCCAACUAAGUCGGAUGUGAAAUCCCCGGGCUCAACCUGGGAACUGCAUCCGAAACUGCCUUGCUAGAGUAUGGGAGAGGGAAGUGGAAUUUCCGGUGUAGCGGUGAAAUGCGUAGAUAUCGGAAGGAACAUCAGUGGCGAAGGCGACUUCCUGGACCAAUACUGACGCUCAGGUGCGAAAGCUAGGGGAGCAAACGGG
This 253-nucleotide ribosomal RNA is filed under the name uncultured bacterium. RNAcentral describes it as "partial 16S ribosomal RNA". It matches the Rfam family "Bacterial small subunit ribosomal RNA", at positions 524 to 776 of the family's 1533-position model. The record is from RNAcentral.